GUGGGUAGUUUGACUGGGGCGGUCUCCUCCCAAAGAGUAACGGAGGAGCACGAAGGUUGGCUAAUCCUGGUCGGACAUCAGGAGGUUAGUGCAAUGGCAUAAGCCAGCUUGACUGCGAGCGUGACGGCGCGAGCAGGUGCGAAAGCAGGUCAUAGUGAUCCGGUGGUUCUGAAUGGAAGGGCCAUCGCUCAACGGAUAAAAGGUACUCCGGGGAUAACAGGCUGAUACCGCCCAAGAGUUCAUAUCGACGGCGGUGUUUGGCACCUCGAUGUCGGCUCAUCACAUCCUGGGGCUGAAGUAGGUCCCAAGGGUAUGGCUGUUCGCCAUUUAAAGUGGUACGCGAGCUGGGUUUAGAACGUCGUGAGACAGUUCGGUCCCUAUCUGCCGUGGGCGCUGGAGAAUUGAGGGGGGCUGCUCCUAGUACGAGAGGACCGGAGUGGACGCAUCACUGGUGUUCGGGUUGUCAUGCCAAUGGCACUGCCCGGUAGCUAAAUGCGGAAGAGAUAAGUGCUGAAAGCAUCUAAGCACGAAACUUGCCCCGAGAUGAGUUCUCCCUGAGACUUUAAGUCU
RNAcentral lists this ribosomal RNA (570 nucleotides) under Enterobacter hormaechei subsp. steigerwaltii. RNAcentral describes it as "partial 23S ribosomal RNA". It matches the Rfam family "Bacterial large subunit ribosomal RNA", at positions 2261 to 2826 of the family's 2925-position model. The record is from RNAcentral. Lineage: Bacteria; Pseudomonadati; Pseudomonadota; Gammaproteobacteria; Enterobacterales; Enterobacteriaceae.